RNAcentral lists this unclassified non-coding RNA (1595 nucleotides) under Hevea brasiliensis (rubber tree). The record is from RNAcentral. Lineage: Eukaryota; Viridiplantae; Streptophyta; Magnoliopsida; Malpighiales; Euphorbiaceae.
AUUGAGCCAGAUCUCCAAACAGCACAUAUAAAAAUUAUAAACAAAUUCAACCCUUUCUCUGGAUUCCAGAGUCCUACUUAUGUAUUAAAGUCAGCAAAGAAGGUAGUGGUGGAUCAGAUCAAGGCUGUUCUCUCUGAAGAACAUACAGAGACAACAGAGCAGACCUAUGAUAUAUAUCUUCUACCACCUGGUGAAGAUCCUGAAUCCUGCCAGUCAUAUCUGAGAAUGAGGAAUAAAGAUGGAAAAUACAAUCUUAUGUUUGAGGAAUGGGUAACAGAUGCUCCAUUUGUUAUAUCACCAAGGAUCAGUUUUGAAGUGAGUGUGCGGCUUCUUGGUGGGCUAAUGGCCUUGGGAUACACAAUAGCAACCAUCCUUAAAAGAAGCAGCCAUGUAUUCUUUAAUGAUAGUGUGUGUGUGACAAUUGAUUGGCUAGAACAACUAAAUCGUCAAUAUGUUCAGGUUCAAGGAAAAGAUCGCUUGGUUGUGAGAUGUGUUGCAGAGCGGCUAGGUUUGGAAGGCUUUUAUGUUCCACGUACCUACAUAGAACAGAUUCAACUGGAAAAGCUUGUAGAUGAAGUUAUGGCUUUACCAGAUGAUUUGAAGACAAAGCUCAGCCUAGAUGAGGAUUUGGUUUCAAGCCCCAAAGAAGCACUUUUGCGAGCCUCUGCUGAUCGGGUUGCUAUGAGAAACAAGAAUCUCAAAAGUGGUAUGUCACAUUCAUAUUCAAGCCAAAGUGACAGGAACUUGUCCAAGCUUACUGGACUUGCUGCAAAUAACCAAAUGCAUACUGAGAGAAACACAGAGUCAAUGACAGUGCUAACAAAUCAGGGAAUCCUCACUCAACUUUCAGAACAGAUAUCCUCUCUAAAUGAUAGAAUGGAUGAGUUUGCAGCCCGUAUUGAAGAGCUAAACUCCAAAUUAAACAUCAAUAGAAGUUCUUCCAGCCAACAAAACUUGGGUCUCCAAGCUGAAGCAUGUAAUGGCUCUGCUUCCACGUCUUACUUCCUUUCUGGUUUAAGCAAUGGUUCCUUGACUGGAUCCAAAAUGUCUAAUUCCUCAUCUUCCUCUCAGUUGGCUAAGGAGUCACCAUUAAUGGAAGAGAUAUCUGGCCUUGCUCGGGGACAACGGCAAGUCAAGCACCAGUUAGAUACUUUAAGCAAUCUACUUCGCGAGAGCUUAGGACAGAGAUCUCAGCAAGUAAGAACGAAUAGGAGAAGCACGAUCGCUGAUUUUGAAAUCACAAAAAUUGCUCUUAUUUUGUCGGUUGGUGUUUUAGGAUUCAGCAUGUGCAGAAGGAUUUUCUAGUGCAAAAUGGUACCAUUAGAUUCACAUUUUUGUUCUGCCUUGGGAAAUUUUUUUUCUUCUCUUUAGGAGUCCCAGUAAGUGUGCCCUUAUACUCGGCUAAGACAAAAAGAAUUGAUCAUUGAGAAAAUUGUUUGGGAGGUGCCUUCAAGUUCCUUUUGGGAGGGGUUUUUUUUUUUUUUUUUUUCCCUCGUUGGGAUCCUUCUGAAUGCUUCUAUACAUUGUAGUUUUCGUAUUCAAAAUGGCUAAUUAAUAUCAGAAAUAAUAGAAAUAUAUUUAUCCUCUAAUCCCUC